RNAcentral lists this ribosomal RNA (253 nucleotides) under uncultured bacterium. RNAcentral describes it as "partial 16S ribosomal RNA". It matches the Rfam family "Bacterial small subunit ribosomal RNA", at positions 524 to 776 of the family's 1533-position model. The record is from RNAcentral.
UACGUAGGGUGCAGGCGUUAAUCGGAAUUACUGGGCGUAAAGCGUGCGCAGGCGGUUUCUUAAGUCAGAUGUGAAAGCCCCGGGCUUAACCUGGGAACUGCGUUUGAAACUGAGAGACUAGAGUGUGGCAGAGGGGGGUGGAAUUCCACGUGUAGCAGUGAAAUGCGUAGAUAUGUGGAGGAACACCGAUGGCGAAGGCAGCCCCCUGGGUUAACACUGACGCUCAGGCACGAAAGCGUGGGGAGCAAACAGG